Molecule: ribosomal RNA, 230 nt
Filed under: uncultured bacterium
Lineage: Bacteria
Description: partial 16S ribosomal RNA
Rfam family: Bacterial small subunit ribosomal RNA
Source: RNAcentral
GAUCAUGGCUCAGGACGAACGCUGGCGGCGUGCUUAACACAUGCAAGUCGAACGAGAAUCUACAGAUCGAGGAUUCGUCCAAGUGAGGUAGAGGACAGUGGCGGACGGGUGAGUAACGCGUGAGGAACCUGCCUUUCAGAGGGGGACAACAGUUGGAAACGACUGCUAAUACCGCAUGACACAUUGGGGUCGCAUGGCCCUGAUGUCAAAGAUUUAUCGCUGAAAGAUGG